GUUUUAUCACAAAACAGAGGAUUCAUCAGGCAGAACUGUGAUUCCAGGCUACCUUCCCCACGUCCUUCUGAUUCCUUCAAGUAUCUCGGCUGGUGUGACAUAGAAGAACAUGAUGUUCAAGGAAAUCAGCUUCAUUGUCCCCGAGUGAGAGAAGGACCCUCAGAAGAAGUGCUAUUUUUCAGAGGAGAAGAACAUACUUUGAAAAAGAGAAAACAAGUAACUGACCCAGAGAAGUGGCAAAAGAAACUGCGAGAGAACUGGGAAAACUGUGCUGAGUUGAACCUUUCAUUUCAGGACCUAGGUGAUCCUUACCAGGUGGAAAACUUCAAAAGGAUUCUCCAAAGAUUAAUUCGGGUGGAAAAACUUUGGUUGGUGGACAAUUCUUUGACAGAGCUAAGUGCCAUAAGGUUGCCAAGAUGCAGAGAACUAAAUGUCCACAAAACCCACUUUACAUCCUUCAAACAGCUGCCAAAGAUACCUCAGAUUCAGCACUUAAUCACUUGCUGAAAAUAACAUUAUGACACUAAGUGGAAUAUCGGACUUCAGACAUACUCCACUUGAAUCCCUUAUACUCAAGAGGAAUCCCUGUGAAUUUCAAGAAGGAUACAGACAACUUGUAUUCUCCAGUUUGCCAAAUCUGAAAAUGCUGGAUGGAAUCCCAAAACUGCCAGAGGACUGUUCACCCCCAGAUACCAGGUUUUUUUCAAAAUGUGUACUAUACUUUAGCGCUGUAUUUUUGUAGGAUCACAACCAUGCUAGAACCAACUCAUUUAAAAGAUACAAUAAAUCCUGU
Molecule: long non-coding RNA, 793 nt
Organism: Fulmarus glacialis (Northern fulmar)
Lineage: Eukaryota; Metazoa; Chordata; Aves; Procellariiformes; Procellariidae
Exons: 6
Source: RefSeq, a predicted model, not a curated record